RNAcentral lists this ribosomal RNA (672 nucleotides) under uncultured Vibrionaceae bacterium. RNAcentral describes it as "bacterial SSU rRNA". It matches the Rfam family "Bacterial small subunit ribosomal RNA", at positions 8 to 671 of the family's 1533-position model. The record is from RNAcentral. Lineage: Bacteria; Pseudomonadati; Pseudomonadota; Gammaproteobacteria; Vibrionales; Vibrionaceae.
AGAGUUUGAUCAUGGCUCAGAUUGAACGCUGGCGGCAGGCUUAACACAUGCAAGUCGAGCGGUAACAGAAAUAGCUUGCUAUUUGCUGACGAGCGGCGGACGGGUGAGUAAUGCUUGGGAAUAUGCCUUAUGGUGGGGGACAACAGUUGGAAACGACUGCUAAUACCGCAUAAUGUCUACGGACCAAAGGGGGGGAUCUUCGGACCUCUCGCCAUUUGAUUAGCCCAAGUGAGAUUAGCUAGUUGGUAAGGUAAUGGCUUACCAAGGCGGCGAUCUCUAGCUGGUUUGAGAGGAUGAUCAGCCACACUGGGACUGAGACACGGCCCAGACUCCUACGGGAGGCAGCAGUGGGGAAUAUUGCACAAUGGGGGAAACCCUGAUGCAGCCAUGCCGCGUGUGUGAAGAAGGCCUUCGGGUUGUAAAGCACUUUCAGUUGUGAGGAAAGGUAUGUAGUUAAUAGCUGCAUACUGUGACGUUAACAACAGAAGAAGCACCGGCUAACUUCGUGCCAGCAGCCGCGGUAAUACGAGGGGUGCAAGCGUUAAUCGGAAUUACUGGGCGUAAAGCGUUCGUAGGCGGUUGAAUAAGCAAGAUGUGAAAGCCCAGGGCUCAACCUUGGAACUGCAUUUUGAACUGUUCGACUUGAGUACUGUAGAGGGGGGUAGAAUUUCA